This 3126-nucleotide long non-coding RNA is filed under the name Homo sapiens (human). RNAcentral describes it as "non-protein coding lnc-SLC25A32-7:2". The record is from RNAcentral. Lineage: Eukaryota; Metazoa; Chordata; Mammalia; Primates; Hominidae.
AGAAGAACAAAACCAUGAAGCUGCUACAUAUUGUUUAUCUAGGGAAAUGCUUCUAGAAAAGAUACAAAGUGCACUUGCUGAUAUUGCACAGUCACAACUGAUCACAGUUACAGCUGAAGACAAGAAGUAGUACCCAUGGCCAGUCUCUUCCAGACUUAUAGCACCAGUGAAUACUAUGUGGCUGAGAAAAGGAUUGUUCCAACAACAUUAAGAAUUCUGUCUCAGAUUUAGAUGGUAAGCCUUACCAACAGUUACAGAAACAUUAAACACUGACAUGUGUUACCUUUUUAGCUACUUUUAAUAAUCUCCAAUUUUCACUCUUGAUAAACAAGGUUAUAAAACUGUGAUUAAACCAUCUCUGAACCAUAAUUUUAAUUUAUUUUACUUUAUUUUAUUCUUAUUUUAUUUUGAAACAGGGUCUUGCUCUGUCACCCAGGCUGGAGUGCAGCAGCAGGAUCACAGAUCAGUGCCACCUCGACCUCACAGGCUCAAGGAAUCCUCCCACCUCAGCCUCCUGAGUAGCUGGGACUACAGAGGCACACCACCAAGCCCAGCUAAAUUAAAAAUUACAUACUGUAUGAUUCCAUUUAUAUAAAGUAAUGAGAACAGACAAAUCUAGAGAGACAGAAAAGAGAUUAGUGGUUGCCAGAUUGGUGGCUGGGAUGAGGGAAUAAUGGGGCGUGAGUGUUUGAUGAAUACAGGGUUUCCUUUUGGGGUGAUGAAAAUACUCCAUUUCCAUCUCAGAAUCUAAACACAUGGUCACCUUUGAGGAGAGAGGCCCAGCAGUGCUACCUGUAAAUGAUGCAUGCUCUCCACCACCCAAACAAAACCACAAGAAUUUGUAACAGAGAAGGAAAAAGAACUAAAGGCCCUAGAUUGUAAAGAUUUUCUCCCAUUCUGUAGGUUGCCUGUUCACUCUGUAGUGUCUUUUGCUGUGCAGAAGCUCUUUAGUUUAAUUAGAUCCCAUUUGUCUAUUUUGGCUUUUGUUGCCAUUGCUUUUGGUGUUUUAGUCAUGAAGUCCUUGCCCAUGCUUAUGUCCUGAAUGCUAUUGCCUAGGUUUUCUUCUAGCGUUUUUAUGGUUUUAGGUCUAACAUUUAAGUCUUUAAUCCAUCUUGAAUUAAUUUUUGUAUAAGGUAUAAAGAAGGGAUCCAAUUUCAGCUUUCUACAUAUGGCUAGCCAGUUUUCCCAGCACCAUUUAUUAAACAGGGCAUCCUUUCCCCAUUUCUUGUUUUUGUCAGGUUUGUCAAAGAUCAGAUGGUUGUAGAUGUGUAUUAUUUCUGAGGGCUCUGUUCUGUUCCAUUGGUCUAUAUAUCUGUUUUGGUACCAGUGCCAUGCUGUUUUCGUUACUGUAGCCUUAUAGUAUAGUUUGAAGUCAGGUAGCAUGAUGCCUCCAGCUUUGUUUUUUUGGCUUAGGAUAUUCUUGCCAAUAUGGAAUCUUUUUUGGUUCUAUAUGAACUUUAAAGUAGUUUUUUCCAAUUCUGUGAAAAAAGUCAUUGGUAGCUUGAUGGGGAUACCACUGAAUGUAUAAAUUACCUUGGGCAGUAUGGCCAUUUUCACGAUAUUGAUUCUUCCUAUCCAUGAGCAUGGAAUGUUCUUCCAUUUGUUUAUGUCCUCUUUUAUUUCGUUGAGCAGUGGUUUGUAGUUCUCUUUGAAGAGGUCCUUCACAUCCCUUGUAAGUUGGAUUCCUAGGUAUUUUAUUCUCUUUGAAGCAAUUGUGGAUGGGAGUUCACUCAUGAUUUGGCUCUCUGUUUGUCUGUUAUUGGUUUAUAGGAAUGCUUGUGAUUUUUGCACAUUGAUUUUUGUAUCCUGAGACUUUGCUGAAGUUGCUUAUCAGCUUAAGGAGAUUUGGGGCUGACACGAUGGGGUUUUCUAAAUAUACAAUCAUAUCAUCUGCAAACAAGGACAAUUUGACUUCUUCUUUUCCUAAUUGAAUACCCUUUAUUUCUUUCUCCUGUCUGAUUGCCCUGGCCAGAACUUCCAACACUAUGCUGAAUAGGAGUGGUGAGAGAGGGUAUCCCUGUCUUGUGCCAGUUUUCAAAGGGAAUGCUUCCAGUUUUUGUACAUUCAGUAUGAUAUUGGCUGUGAGUUUGCCAAAAAUAGCUCUUAUUAUUUUGAGAUACAUCCCAUCAAUACCUAGUUUAUUGAGAGUUUUUAGAAUGAAGUGCUGUUGAAUUUUGUCAAAGGCCUUUUCUGCAUCUAUUGAAAUAAUCAUGUGGUUUUUGUCUUUGAUUCUGUUUAUGUGAUGGAUUAUGUUUAUUGACAUUCGUAUGUUGAACCAGCCUUGCAUCACAGGGAUGAAGCCCACUUGAUCGUGGUGGAUAAGCUUUUUGAUGUGCUGCUGGAUUCAGUUUGCCAGUAUUGUAUUGAGGAUUUUUGCAUCGAUGUUCAUGAGGGAUAUUGGUCUAAAAUAGGCUUUGGUAUCAGGAUGAUGCUGGCCUCAUAAAAUGAGUUCGGGAGGAGUCCCUCUUCUUCUAUUGAUUGGAAUAGUUUCAGAAGAAAUGGUACCAGCUCAUCUUUGUACCUCUGGUAGAAUUCGGCUGUGAAUCCAUCUGGUCCUGGACUUUUUUGGUCAGUAGGCCAUUAAUUAUUGCCUAAAUUUCAGAGCCUGUUGUUGGUCUAUUCAGGGAUUCAACUUCUUCCUGGUUUAGUCUUGUAUGUGUCGAGGAAUUUAUCCAUUUCUUCUAGAUUUUCUACUUUAUUUGCGCAGAGGUGUUUAUAGUAUUCUCCGAUGGUAGUUUGUAUUUCUGUGGGAUCAGUGGUAAUAACCCCUUUAUCAUUUUUUAUUGUAUCUAUUUGAUACUUCUCUCUUUUCUUCUUUAUUAGUCUUGCUAGUGGUCUAUCAAUUUUGUUGAUCUUUUCAAAAAACCAGCUCCUAGAUACAUUGAUUUUUUUGAAGGGUUUUUUGUGUCUCUAUCUCCUUCAGUUCUGCUCUGAUCUUAGUUAUUUCUUGCCUUCUGCUAGCUUUUGAAUGUGUUUGGUCUUGCUUCUCUAGUUCUUUUACUUGUGAUGUUAGGGUGUCAAUUUUAGAUCUUUCCUGCUUUCUCUUGUGGGCAUUUAGUGCUAUAAAUUUCCCUCUAUAGAUUGCUUUAAAUGUGUCCCAGAGUCUGGUUAUGUUGUGUCUUUGUU